This is a long non-coding RNA of Lutra lutra (Eurasian river otter), 4457 nucleotides long. RefSeq lists it as uncharacterized. The transcript is spliced from 2 exons. The record is from RefSeq and is a predicted model, not a curated record. NCBI's taxonomy places the organism in Eukaryota, Metazoa, Chordata, Mammalia, Carnivora, Mustelidae.
UGAAAGAAGGUGACCGAGCCAAGAGGAGAGAGCACAGAUGGCUUGGUGGUGGUAUGGUGUGGUGAGUUGUGGGGAGGAGGCGAGGGGGUCUGGAAGAGGUUGGGGGUGGGUGGAAUGAGGAACCCUGUUUUCCGUUUGGUUUGCUGUGGAUGAAGGAGGGGGGUGGUGGGGAAAGAAGUGAGACAGAUGGCAGAGUGGAGAGGCGGCAGCCAGUGCCGGCACUGCCCAGCCUGGGCGGACCCAGCUCUUCCCCCCCCCCACCCCCCCACCCCCCUGCCUGCCAGCUUUCCAAAUGCCACCCUUCCCCCAUCCUCCCCUCUUCCCAUCCCCCCAGCUUGGCACUGAUCUCUGAGAGAGAGGGAGGGAGGCUGGGCAAAGAGCAUCUGUUCCCUCCAUUCUCCCUGCUCUAUCAGCUGCCAACCUAGGGCCAUCGUCUGCCUCCAUCACCCCUCCGCCCGCCUGCCCGCCCGCCUACCCACCCAAUCCCAAACGGGUGCUGGAUCAGGUGCCGAAUCUGGCUGCCUCCUCGGGUAUACCCGUCACUAUGCAUUGCUGUGUGUCUGCCACCGCUGCCUGGCACUCAUGGGGCCGUGUGUGUGUAUGUGUGUGUGUGUGUGUGUGUGUGCGCAUGUACAUGUACGCAUAAGCGCGUGCUGUAUGUGAGCCUCCUGGGCAUGGGUGGGGGGUUGGCACUGCGGUUGCCAAUCUAGUGUCCAGAAGGACAGAGGGAUGGAGGGGAAGAAGGAGGGGAGAGGUGCGGGGCCCGGGAGGGCAGAACAGGGUGCAUGGGUUGCUUCGUGCUGCCUGCUUCCAGGCAUUGGCACUGCAGCUGCCACCCUCGUGCCCGCGGAGAUGGGAGGAGGCGAAUGGGGAGGGGGGCGGCAGUAGGAGUACUGGUGCUCUGAGAGGAAGGAUCGCUACCUGGGAACCAUUGGCAUCACACCCAUCAUGCUGGUGCUCCGAGCUGGGGCAGUGGGAACAGGGGCCCCAGGAGGCAGAGAGGAGGGGCAGGGGGAUGUUAAUGAUCUUGCUGUCCCUCUGGAGCUCAGCUCUGAGAAACGGUUGGACUAGGAGGUAGUCAGCCUUCUUCCAGUCUGGGAAAGUAAAGUGGUGGAAAGAGUAGCCAGGGAAGUGCCAAGAAAGUGUCUAAGAGCCAGAAGGAGGGACCGUGCCACUGCUCCCUGGGGAGAGCUCCUCGGGGCUGGCAGUCUGGCCCUUUGUGAAAAGCAAGGGGACACGGGCAUGCGGCUGUGGGUGCUGGCACUGCCUGAGGAGGCUGGCACAGGCUCUAGCAUUGUGUGGAAGGAAGAAGGGGGGCAGUGCCUCUUGCCAAUCUGCUUGAGAGGGUGGCUGUGCCAGGAGUGAGAAGGGAGGUGAGAUGUUGGGGUGUAUGUGUGUGUGUGUUUAUGAAUUGUUUGGGAGAACAGACUUUUUUCUGCCAGGACCUCCUUCCUGUUCCCUCUUAGGCAUGGGGAGUGGAGCAACAGACCGAGAGAGGCGUGAGGACACAAAGGAGGACGUGCGCCAUUGCCAAGACCCCAAGGAAAGAAGGAUGGAGAGCGCUGGCAGUCCUAUUUGGCCCCCGGCCAGUUUCCUGCUGAAGAUGGCCAAAUCCUCCUGCCUGGUCUGUUGUCACAGUGCAGAGGAAUGGAGUCCUUUCCCCAUGGAUUGCAGCAUUUGGUCACCCUUCCUCUGGUUACAUUUCCCCUGUUCGUAUUUUAUUCUCACCUACUGUAGGAUUGAAGGAAAUGAAUAUGUCCUGGAGGCUGGUUGUACUUACGGGAAGUGUAGGUCCCUACACGGGCCUCUGUGCCCAUGGGGCCCAUCCUUGCUGGCAUGUGUGUACCCCCACGGCACUCUCCGUGGCUCUACUAGCUUCUGAUGGCAUGCAUGCUUGUUUCAUUGGUGCAGUCAUAUACACAGAGCUCUGUAUUUCAGAUGUGAUUUUCUAUACAGGGAUGAAUGAUUAGAUGAGAAGAUGUGCAUUAAAACAACCAGGCUGGUGGAGGUUUGGGAAAUUGGCGAUCUGAACUAUAAGCCCUCUACGUGGCUAAGGAACAAAUAGAUGGAAUUAAGCAGAUGGGUGCUAUUGGGUGUGGAAUACUGGCUUUCUUGGUUCCUGUGCAUGUUUCUGUAAGGAUACUCCCAAGGACUAGGGGGUUGAGGGAAGAGGGGUUUCUUUUUUCUGGCCCUACUGCAGAUUCUGCCCCAUUUGGCUGCUAUAGCUUUAGAUUUUUCUCAUAUUCUAGUUGAGAAUGGAGUACCUGAACCCAUCCCCACAUGAUUCUGGUUUAGAGUAACUACAGCCAAGCUCCCAUCCACCUCCUGUCUCCUGGUACUGAUCCUAACAGUAAGUAGGCUGGACCAGAAUUUGGACACCUUAGAGCCCAUGUAUGUUAGAAACCGUAGUUCUUUGCCCCAGGCUGUGGAAGACCAAUGGUAGAAGCCAAGGAUUCAAGCUCACUUUAGGGUUGUUGGGGUGGGGCCUGUGUUACAGAAUAGGUGUGGAUAUGCUAGGCAUUUAAGUUGGGUCUGCUGCUCCCCAGGAGAAGCAGCAGGGUUUACCCAGGGUGACCUGGUGUUUGCCUCUAGUAUUCUGCAUGGGGCCUGAUGACCUGGCCUUUCUUCCACCAGAACGGCCCGCUGAGCGUGGCUGCCGGGGACUUUUGGUCUGAGAAUUGGGUUGGGGAGGAAGGCUUCCAGCCACUGGGAAUGGCAUACCUAACUCUACCUUCAGGCAGGCUCUUGUCUCUCAAAUUACAGGGCUCCUGGUAAGGACAGUGGCUUAGUGUCAGCUCCCAUCCCCUACUGUGCACUUAUGCCUUGUCUCUAGACCAGGGUGUCCCCAUGUAAGAAAACGUGCCAGAGGGCAAGAGGAGGCACAAGAGGGAUUUCUGGCUAUGUUAAUUCCUGGUAAAAAUAUUCACAAUUCAAAUGACAGCAACCUGUCCUAGUUGUAAACUCCUAAAAAUGCAUGACACCUCACCUCUAAUCAUCCUGUACCAGGCAUUUGCCCCAGUUUUCUUUUAAAAUGUUUCUUCUUUCCCUCCUAUCUUUUCUUCUAAUUUUGUGUUUGUUUUCAACUUUUACACACAAGUCACAUUCCCUGAAAGCACAGAGUGAAAAAGCUUCUUUCCAUCUACACAUGCUGCUAAGAAAAUAAUUUUAUACACAGUUUCAGUGGGAAAAGAAAAGGAUAGGAAGGGAGGGACACAGGAGAGAGGUGAGAGAUGGGAAGGGUGGCGGCAAGAACGAGAGUGUGGUGGGGCCUGCAUUUGUAACUGGUGUCACUGGAAGGACUCUUUGUACCCUACCCUGGUUUGCUAGAGUUCGAGCUCUUAACUUUAGAAAUGCAUUGGGAAGUGAGGUUCACAGAACAUGUGGGCACUAGGGACUUGGCUGAUUUUCCCUCCCCCUUUCUCCCAUCUUUUUGGCACAUAAGCCUCUGCUUUGGUAUUAACAUGUUCACAUGGCAGAGCAACAGGCCAGGAAGUGGAAAUCCCAGGGCUGACUGAACUGUGUGCACACAUAUUAAAUGGACGAGGGUAGUGGAAGAAGCCCCAAGGGAGAAAGUUUGCAAUACCUUGAGAGGGGAGGUCUCCUGGACAAGGGUGGUAGCAGAAACUGUCUGGAGGACUGGGAACUUUUGCAGGCUUUUCUUUGCCAAAAUAAAACACCUGCUUUUAGACCUUGUGCCACUGUAGCUGGGCUUUGGGAUCACCGGUUCCCAUCUGAUGCUGGCAGAAACAAUGUUAGAGGUGGGGAACCCUCUUCUAGCCCAUUCCUUUUUCAUUGGUUUCCCUUGGUGAUAGCAUUCUGUCAGAUUCGCCUUGUGCUUUGGUCAUUGCCUAGCCCACCCACCCCCUGAGCCUCCUGGGACAGCCUCUUGACUGGGUGGUCCUCCCAGCAGCUGCUGCUUGCUGGUAGGAGGAAGGGCAAGGGCAAAGGAGGAAGGAAGAACAUAGGUGGGAAAUAAAGGUCCCCACAAAGGCAAGGAUUUCAAGUGACCAGGAAUGUGAAGGGGACACUGGACAUGGAAAUAGAAGUUGGGGUUCGUGAAAGAAGCAAAUGAGAGGGAGCAGUGGUUAACUGUAGGAAAGGGAGGCAUACCUGAGAUUCAGAAACCAUAAUAUCCUGUCCACCCACCUCUUUCUUCCUGGGACUGCCAAGAUACAUUUGGCAACACUGACUUUCCUAACUAGUGACUGGGAAUAAAGAGGUGUUAGCAGUCCUGAUAUUCAGUUCAGAGGGCAAAGGUAGGUCUCUCCGUCUCCAGGCUCUUCUCCCCAUGGCCAGCUCUGGCCUCGGAACCUGGGCUGGCUAGGGUCAGGCUGCACAGCUUUCUGUCCCAAGGAUCACCAUACCCAUGCAAGGACUUAAAAGCCAUUUGCUCUUCCCAAGACUAGUAGUUUAAAGAAACCCUUAACAUGGGGGAAAAUGGACACAAAUGGGGGGGA